UACGUAGGGGCCUAGCGUUGUCCGGAUUUAUUGGGCGUAAAGAGCUCGUAGGCGGCUUGUUGCGUCGGCUGUGAAAACCCGCGGCUUAACUGCGGGCUUGCAGCCGAUACGGGCGGGCUGGAGUUCGGUAGGGGAGACUGGAAUUCCUGGUGUAGCGGUGAAAUGCGCAGAUAUCAGGAGGAACACCAAUGGCGAAGGCAGCUCGCUGGGACGUGACUGACGCUGAGACGCGAAAGCGUGGGGAGCAAACAGG
RNAcentral lists this ribosomal RNA (253 nucleotides) under uncultured bacterium. Its description in RNAcentral is "partial 16S ribosomal RNA". It matches the Rfam family "Bacterial small subunit ribosomal RNA", at positions 524 to 776 of the family's 1533-position model. The record is from RNAcentral.